RNAcentral lists this transfer RNA (84 nucleotides) under Pseudomonadota bacterium. Its description in RNAcentral is "tRNA-Leu". It matches the Rfam family "tRNA". From Rfam's summary of the family: Transfer RNA (tRNA) molecules are approximately 80 nucleotides in length. Their secondary structure includes four short double-helical elements and three loops (D, anti-codon, and T loops). Lineage: Bacteria; Pseudomonadati; Pseudomonadota. The record is from RNAcentral. RNAcentral also lists the same sequence under 2 other names.
GCCCGGAUGGCGGAAUUGGCAGACGCGCCAGGUUGAGGGCCUGGUGGGGUAACACCCGUGCUGGUUCGAAUCCAGUUCCGGGCA